Long non-coding RNA from Photinus pyralis (common eastern firefly), 307 nucleotides. RefSeq lists it as uncharacterized. The transcript is spliced from 2 exons. The record is from RefSeq and is a predicted model, not a curated record. Lineage: Eukaryota; Metazoa; Arthropoda; Insecta; Coleoptera; Lampyridae.
UUGAAAUUGUUGUUAACGUCAAAAUUUUGAGUCAAAAUGAGUUUGGACGAUCUAUGCCUGCAUUGCUUCCAGCAUCCCCCUUUCUGCUUUCUACUAUGGUACGUCGGCGCAAUAGCUAUUUAUUUAGCGUCUGGACCAACUGCAGAUGAUUGACGAAAACACCGAUCAAUUACCCUGUAGAUAUAAUAACUAAAUGGCCAGAUAUUUCCAUUCCAAAAUACAGUAACCUUCUAUGUGCGAUAUAAAAAAUAAAAAUUUGUUGUGUACAUAAUUAUGCAAUUUUGUCCAUAUAUAGAAUUCGAAAGAU